Molecule: unclassified non-coding RNA, 907 nt
Filed under: Hevea brasiliensis (rubber tree)
Lineage: Eukaryota; Viridiplantae; Streptophyta; Magnoliopsida; Malpighiales; Euphorbiaceae
Source: RNAcentral
UAUUCCUAAUUAGAGUUGAUUAGGUUUUCUAUUCCUAAAUUGAUUAGAGUAGGAAGCUCUACAAAAAGAGCUAAUUUUCCAUCAUUUAGUAGCUUUAGACAAUGAUUACUAAUUGAGAAUAAUAAAAUUGUUAAAAAUUAGUUCUCUUUUCUAAGAAUUAAUCCUUGUUUUGUUCUUUGUUCUACAUAAGUGACUCGCUUCAAUGGCAAAUGGAGGAGAAGAAAUAUUGAAAUAUUGAAAUAUUCCAAUUUCAAAUUUAGGUUUGUUUGACUAUUUGUUUUGUUUGAUCGUUGGGUUUAUUUUGAGUUUGUUUGGGUAAAAUUAAGGUUUGUUUGAUUGUGGACUUUUUAGACUUUGUUUGAAGAAAAUAUUGAUUUAUUUAACUGUUAAAAGUUUGUUUCAACAAACAAAAAAGGUUAAAAGUUUGGGAUUGUUGAAGAAUGGUUAUUUGAUUGCUCCAAAUUUUCAUUUAAAUGAGAAACUGUGACAGGGAACAUCUAAAUUUUGUGAAGGCGUCAAAGGAAAAGAAUGGAUCUGGCAAAGUGGGAGAAGAACCUAUCGACUAAACCGAACCGAAAUAUUUCAGUUCAAUUAACCUUCAUAAUUCAUUUUGGUUCGGUUUAAUUUCAAAUGCAUUUCAAAUCUUUGGUUUUUUCCGAUUUGAUUCAUCGAUUUUUUUCAUUUAGUUCGAUUCAGAAUUAAAUCGGCCGAUUGCACACCCUUAGCCACGUCAGUGCCAUGUUACCCAAUGUUGCCAAGUCAGCAACCCUAGCACGUCAAUAAAUUUGGCAAAACCCUUUCCUUCUACUUUCAACGUCCAAAUUCCAUUUUUGACGUCAAUUGCGGUGAAAAUGAAUAUUUGAAGCAUGAUCACAGAUCCAAAUUAACUCCGCCUAAGUAGUUUGUG